AAAAUUUUAGUUUAAAAACAUUUCAGUUACAUUGAAAAAUACCAUUUUUUGGAAAUUUUA
RNAcentral lists this transfer RNA (60 nucleotides) under Taeniogonalos tricolor. Its description in RNAcentral is "tRNA-Val". The record is from RNAcentral. Lineage: Eukaryota; Metazoa; Arthropoda; Insecta; Hymenoptera; Trigonalidae.